This 253-nucleotide ribosomal RNA is filed under the name uncultured bacterium. Its description in RNAcentral is "partial 16S ribosomal RNA". It matches the Rfam family "Bacterial small subunit ribosomal RNA", at positions 524 to 776 of the family's 1533-position model. The record is from RNAcentral.
UACGUAGGGGGCUAGCGUUGUCCGGAAUCAUUGGGCGUAAAGCGCGUGUAGGCGGUUCGGUAAGUCCGCUGUGAAAGUCGGGGGCUCAACCCUCGGAUGCCGGUGGAUACUGUCGGGCUUGAGUACGGAAGAGGCGAGUGGAAUUCCUGGUGUAGCGGUGAAAUGCGCAGAUAUCAGGAGGAACACCAAUUGCGAAGGCAGCUCGCUGGGACGUUACUGACGCUGAGACGCGAAAGCGUGGGGAGCAAACCGG